CUUGAGGACUGGGAACUGGGAUCUUUUGUUUUACAAACUUGAAUACCACUUUUUUUUUUUUUUCCUUACCCACCUUUGCCACCACCCCCCAUGACUUUAAAAUGCUUUUUUUUUUUUUUUUUUUUUUUUGAGACAGAGUUGCUCUGUCGCCCAGGCUGGAAUCGCACCACUGCACUCCAGCCUGGGUGAUAGAGCGAGACACUGUCUCAAAAAAUAAAUAAAAACUGGUGAACAGAGAUAAAUCCAGAAAUUUAUGCUGAUUGUUAGGACAGAAGCAAUACAGCAGC
This 287-nucleotide small RNA is filed under the name Pongo abelii (Sumatran orangutan). RNAcentral's name for it is "sense intronic". The record is from RNAcentral. Lineage: Eukaryota; Metazoa; Chordata; Mammalia; Primates; Hominidae.